Molecule: transfer RNA, 67 nt
Filed under: Palleon nasus (elongate leaf chameleon)
Lineage: Eukaryota; Metazoa; Chordata; Lepidosauria; Squamata; Chamaeleonidae
Description: partial tRNA-Trp
Source: RNAcentral
AGAAACUUAGGACUAUUUAAACCCAGGGCCUUCAAAGCCCUUAAAAAGAGACAGCCUCUUAGUUUCU